CUUAACACAUGCAAGUCGAACGGAAAGGCCCUUCGGGGUACUCGAGUGGCGAACGGGUGAGUAACACGUGGGUGAUCUGCCCUGCACUUUGGGAUAAGCCUGGGAAACUGGGUCUAAUACCGAAUAUGAUCAUUGGCUUCAUGGCUGGUGGUGGAAAGCUUUUGCGGUGUGGGAUGGGCCCGCGGCCUAUCAGCUUGUUGGUGGGGUAAUGGCCUACCAAGGCGACGACGGGUAGCCGGCCUGAGAGGGUGACCGGCCACACUGGGACUGAGAUACGGCCCAGACUCCUACGGGAGGCAGCAGUGGGGAAUAUUGCACAAUGGGCGCAAGCCUGAUGCAGCGACGCCGCGUGAGGGAUGACGGCCUUCGGGUUGUAAACCUCUUUCAAUAGGGACGAAGCGCAAGUGACGGUACCUAUAGAAGAAGGACCGGCCAACUACGUGCCAGCAGCCGCGGUAAUACGUAGGGUCCGAGCGUUGUCCGGAAUUACUGGGCGUAAAGAGCUCGUAGGUGGUUUGUCGCGUUGUUCGUGAAAACUCACAGCUUAACUGUGGGCGUGCGGGCGAUACGGGCAGACUAGAGUACUGCAGGGGAGACUGGAAUUCCUGGUGUAGCGGUGGAAUGCGCAGAUAUCAGGAGGAACACCGGUGGCGAAGGCGGGUCUCUGGGCAGUAACUGACGCUGAGGAGCGAAAGCGUGGGGAGCGAACAGGAUUAGAUACCCUGGUAGUCCACGCCGUAAACGGUGGGUACUAGGUGUGGGUUUCCUUCCUUGGGAUCCGUGCCGUAGCUAACGCAUUAAGUACCCCGCCUGGGGAGUACGGCCGCAAGGCUAAAACUCAAAGGAAUUGACGGGGGCCCGCACAAGCGGCGGAGCAUGUGGAUUAAUUCGAUGCAACGCGAAGAACCUUACCUGGGUUUGACAU
This 925-nucleotide ribosomal RNA is filed under the name Mycolicibacterium parafortuitum. Its description in RNAcentral is "bacterial SSU rRNA". It matches the Rfam family "Bacterial small subunit ribosomal RNA", at positions 47 to 987 of the family's 1533-position model. The record is from RNAcentral. Lineage: Bacteria; Bacillati; Actinomycetota; Actinomycetes; Mycobacteriales; Mycobacteriaceae.